RNAcentral lists this long non-coding RNA (1109 nucleotides) under Canis lupus dingo (dingo). Its description in RNAcentral is "lncRNA (ENSCAFG00020008328.1)". The record is from RNAcentral. Lineage: Eukaryota; Metazoa; Chordata; Mammalia; Carnivora; Canidae.
GUUGUCUCUACCUAUGUGGCCCUAUCCCAGUUCUCCCAGAAUACGGGUGACAGGGACAAGUGGCUGCACUGUGAGCAGAUGGCCAUUCAGAAAAGCAGCCUAUGCUGGUUCUCCAGGGAGGGAUUGCUGGCCACAGCCCAGCUCAUGCAGGCCUUGGCCUACACCAAGCUCUGCCUCGGCCAUCUGGACUUCUCCAUCAAGCUGGGUAAUGGGGCUUGGCGCUGGUGGGCCUAAGGCUCUUAGAGAGGCCAAGUUCACCACUAGGCCUCACACAGUGCUCUUUCACCUCCUUAGGUUUUCAAGCUCAUGAGAUAUGCAGACACCUCAAGAAACCAGCUCUGGAGAAUCUGGUUCUCUCAGUUCUCUUCAGAUCUGCAUUUCUGAAGAAGAAAUUUGAUCUGUGUGUCCAUGUGCUGGAGCGUCAAUGGGUGCUCAUUUCCCACGGUCAUGAUGUCCUUGGCCUGGCCUGCUUCUAUUCUGCUUGCUUAGAUCUGCUGCUCUACGGAGAAGGAUUGCUGUGUCGGCCCUUUGGCGAGUGUCUGCAUUUCAUUCAACACUGUGAGCACAGCUGCAUUCUAAACUCUCAGAGUAAUGUCAUGCUGGGGGUCCACUCAUCUCUGGCCAUGUGGUUUGCCCAGGACUCCCAGUGGAAUCUCUUUGAGCACCACUUCUCCAAGGCUCGCCAGUUGGUGAAAAGAACCAAUGCCUCACUAUUUGGUUCACAUGGUUUUGUCCGAUUCCUGGAGUGCCAUGUGCUAAUGUUACAAAAAAUGCCAGACAGUGUCUUCAUGCACACUCUGCCAGAGACUUGCAGCCAAACCCUCAAGUACUGUAAGGAGUUCUUCUCUCGGUGUGUGACCUGCCCAGUCUAUCACCAGUGGGUCUCUGAGCUUAAAGCCUCUGUAAUGAGAUAUGGAAAGAGAGAAUCCAUGUCCUCGACUAACAUCAUCAGACCUUUUGACACCUGCUUGGCCAGGAUUUGGAUAGAGGGAGAAUACCUGGAGGAAAACCACUCCUUUGGAGGACAUUUAGGAAUACAGAGAUUUGACAGAAUGGCUGAUGUCAAGGAGAAUAAGAAUGAAGAAGAAAUUCAAGAAUGUACAUGUUAA